UUGGGAGUGGCAGAGUUGGUUUAAUGCCGCUAACCGCAAUGGUUGGUGGUGCCUCAGGCGCAUGAGGCACACACGGGUUCGAAUCCCGUCUCCCAAA
Molecule: transfer RNA, 97 nt
Filed under: Vibrio parahaemolyticus
Lineage: Bacteria; Pseudomonadati; Pseudomonadota; Gammaproteobacteria; Vibrionales; Vibrionaceae
Description: tRNA-OTHER
Rfam family: tRNA
About the family: Transfer RNA (tRNA) molecules are approximately 80 nucleotides in length. Their secondary structure includes four short double-helical elements and three loops (D, anti-codon, and T loops).
Source: RNAcentral